CCUACGGGUGGCAGCAGUGAGGAAUAUUGGGCAAUGGACGAGAGUCUGAACCAGCCAAGUAGCGUGAAGGAUGACUGCCCUAUGGGUUGUAAACUUCUUUUAUAUGGGAAUAAAAUGUUCCACGUGUGGGAUUUUGUAUGUACCAUAUGAAUAAGGAUCGGCUAACUCCGUGCCAGCAGCCGCGGUAAUACGGAGGAUCCGAGCGUUAUCCGGAUUUAUUGGGUUUAAAGGGAGCGUAGGUGGAUUGUUAAGUCAGUUGUGAAAGUUUGCGGCUCAACCGUGAAAUUGCAGUUGAAACUGGCAGUCUUGAGUACAGUAGAGGUGGGCGGAAUUCGUGGUGUAGCGGUGAAAUGCUUAGAUAUCACGAAGAACUCCGAUUGCGAAGGCAGUUCACUGGACUGCAACUGACACUGAGGCUCGAAAGUGUGGGUAUCAAACAGGAUUAGAUACCCCUGUAGUC
Molecule: ribosomal RNA, 460 nt
Filed under: uncultured bacterium
Lineage: Bacteria
Description: partial 16S ribosomal RNA
Rfam family: Bacterial small subunit ribosomal RNA
Source: RNAcentral